GACGAACGCUGGCGGCGUGCUUAACACAUGCAAGUCGAACGGAAAGGCCCCUUUUGGGUUCCUCGCGCGGCGAACGGGCGAGUAACUCGUACGUAACCUACCCUUCCCUUCGUGAUAACUACAGUCAACUGGGGCUAAUACCUGCCAGAAAUCCUCUCUGCAUGGAGGGGGUUGGAAAGCUUCGGGGGUUUUGGAGGGACUCGCGCCCUAUUAGCUUGGUGGUGGGGUAGUGGCUUACCAACGCUUUGUCGGGUAGCCGGCCUGGGAGGGCGACCGGCCACAAUGGGGAUGAGGUAAGGCCCAGGCUCCUACGGGGGGCAGGAGGGGGGAAUAUUGCACAAUGGGCGGGAGGCUGAUGCAACAAAGCCGCGUGCGGGAUGACGGCCUUCGGGUUGGGAACCGCUUUCAGCAGGGGAGAAGCUUGUGGUGACGGUACCUGGAGAAGAAGCACCGGCUAACUACGUG
Molecule: ribosomal RNA, 465 nt
Filed under: uncultured bacterium
Lineage: Bacteria
Description: partial 16S ribosomal RNA
Rfam family: Bacterial small subunit ribosomal RNA
Source: RNAcentral